Molecule: RNA transcript, 6997 nt
Organism: Lycium barbarum (goji berry)
Lineage: Eukaryota; Viridiplantae; Streptophyta; Magnoliopsida; Solanales; Solanaceae
Gene name: two pore calcium channel protein 1B-like
Exons: 10
Source: RefSeq, a predicted model, not a curated record
AUUUUCCUUAUCUUAAAUCUGUUUUAUUUUUAAUUUUGAGAAAUCAAAAUCUCAAAUUUUCUCCCCAAAUUUGUCAACGGACUUGGUCAAAGUAUCCGUAUGUAAUUGAGCGUAUCCCGCACGUUUGCCAUUCCCGCACCCAACUCGUGUCGAGACGGGAACGACACCCAAAAUGGUGAGUCCGUGCGGUGAAAUGGGAUAAAAUACUGAAGAAGGCAUGAUUGCAAAGAGAAUAAGGGAUACAAUCCGGUGAAAUGGGAUAAAAUACUGAACAGUAGACAUUUGGGGGGAAUGGACAUCAGAAACCUUAGGAGACAGAACAAUAGCUUCUUAAAGUUAUCGAUUACUUCUUCCUCUGUCUCGUUUAUCUCUGUCCAGAGCCGGAAAAAAAUAUAUCACAACACAAAAUUUUCAUCUUUCAUCCAACAAAAUAGAAAAUAUGACAUCUGCAAGUCAAAAGGGAAAGGGUCUUAUAAGACCAACGAAAAGUGUAGGGAUUGAUUUUGAUGAUAAACCAUUGUGGAAUCAUGUCAAAGUUGUUUUAGUUGCUGGUGGUGGUGGUGGAAACAUAGUAUGGAUGUGUAACUAUUGCAAUAAAAGAUUCAUGGGAUCAUAUAGCAGAGUAAAAUCACAUCUCUUAAAAAUACCAAACCAUGGAGUUCAAAUAUGUUCAGCUAUCGGUGGUGAAAUAUUAAGGGUUUUGAAGAUAGAGCAUGAACAAGUUGAAAGGAAAAACCAUCCAUUCAAGUUGAUGCAAGAAAGAAAGCUGAUUAUGUAUCUCUUCCGGAGGGGAAUGAUUUGCUCCAACCGAAAAAAAGAAAAGGUCCAGAAGGUGGAGCUAUAGAGAAAUCCUUUGGCCUUUAUGAAAGAAAUACCGCUGAUAGCAGCUCGAAUGUUUUUCGCAUCAGGUCUAUCGUUUAAUUUUGCAAGAUCUCCUUAUUUCAAAAAAUAUUCACUGUUUCUAGCUGAAAAUCAUAUUCCUGGUUAUAUUUCCCCGAAAUAUGAUAGGUUGAGGACAUCUCUUUUGGCUCAGGAAAAGACUAACUUUGCUAGAAAGUUGCAACCAAUUAAAGAUGCAUGGAGAAAGAAAGAGGGUUGUCGAUUUGUUCAGAUGGAUGGUCCGACAUUAAGAGACGACCUUUGAUAAAUAUAAUUGCAUCAUCUAGUGAGGGCCCAAUAUUUUUAAAUUCAAUCAAUUCUAGUGGGGUCGUAAAGCAGGGGGAAUACAUUGCUAAAUUGUUGAUUGAUGCAAUAGAAAAUGUAGGUCCGGAUAAUGGUGUUCAAGUUAUUACGGAUAACGCAAGUAACAUGAAAAGUGUCGGUUCUAUCGUGGAGCAAAAAAUUCCUAAUAUAUUUUGGACUCCUUGUUUUGUUCAUUGUUUAAAUCUGGCGUUGAAAAGUAUGUGCCAACCUUCGGAAAGAUCAACUCACUUUGCGAAUGGAUAGUAACGUUACUUGGUCAAGUAAAUAAUCUGAAGAACUUUGUUGUGAAUCAUGACAUGGCACUUGCAAUUUUUCAAAAGCAUUCUAAAUUGAGCUUAUUGAAAGUUGCCGAAACAAGAUUUGCAUCACACAUUGUUAUGAACGAUCAUGUUAAAAAAGUGAAAUCGGCUUUAGAGAAGAUGAGAUGGUAAUGGAUGAUGAAUGGAAGCAUUAUAGGGGGGAUAGGACACUUGAAGCUAAAACACGUGAUAUAAAAACCCUUAUAAUGAAUGAUGAUUGGUGGGAUAGUAUUGAUUAUUUUUUGAAGUUUAUGAAACCUAUUGUAGAUAUGCUUAGAAGUGUCGAUCUUGAUAGUCUGAAAUUGCAUCUCAUUUAUGAUAUGUGGGACACUAUGAUUGAGAAAGUCUUUGAAGAAAUGAUACAAUCAACAUUCUUUUAGGAAAAAGAAAAAGAAGUUGGAAUCCUCACAUGAGAUUCCACAUGAUAUUAUCUGUUGAAGACAUAUAAUUAAAUAAAUAAAAAUGUGAUCUCCAUGGCAGAUUAAAUGUUUAGAUGAGAUGGCCACUCACCUCAACAUAGUAUCAGAGCUAGACCCAUAUUUAUUCUUGAUUUAUCAAAUGUUGGGUCCCGCUGUUAUGUUUUUGACACACCAAAUGUCCAAGCCUAGGUGUGUGGACAGGUGUUAGUCUCACAUUUGUUGAGAGAAUGGACUGGUAUCUCCUUAUAAGGUAUGGAUCAUUCCUCACUUCAUGAACUAUUUUUUGGGAUUGAUUUAGAUCGAAGGUCAAUUUAUUUAUAUUAUCUGAAAUCUCUUCUUUUAUUAUGUGGAUGUGAAUGAGGAAGUUUUUGUUUCUGUGGCGAGUUCCGUGCGCCCAUGCCAUGAAACAAAGAUUUUUACGGUUCAAGAAGCAUCCUCAUCAUUUUAUUUGUCUACAUCUUUUCUGAGUCCAGCAUGAGUCUCACUAACUUUUACUGCUGGUGAAUUCUAGCUUGAUUUGCAGAACAACUCAGCUCAAACCUUCUGGCAGAAGGUAGAGAUCGCUUUUGGUAAGUUGCAGAAAUCAGUCCUUCGCACCAGGCCACCAACAUUUCUAAAAAUGAGCUAUCCCUUUCCAUUAAUCACAACUUGGGUAUAGUUUUCACCUCAAUAGAGAUUGGUCAUAUGUCAUCGAGAUGGCACUAAAAGUGUACACUUAUGGUUUUGGGAACUAUUGGAAGGAUGGUCAAAAUCGAUUUGAUUUUGUCAUCACUUGGGUCAUUGAUAAACCAAGAAUACAAGUUUGUGUUGAGUUCGGAUGGCAGAGAGAAGCAAUGAUAUAGAUGGAGGGUUUGUUUUCGGCCUUGAAUGGCUUUCUCUUUCUAUCUUGAGGAAAGAAUGAAAGACUGUGAAAGAGACGACCUAGAGGCUUGAAAACUUUGCUCUGUAAAAGCUUGAAAAGGAAAUUUGGAGAAUAUGAACAAGACGACUGCUUACAGCUGGAGGAGACAUGUAGUCGUGUACAAGCUGAAUUAGGACUCUUAAAAGUCUUAAUUGUAUUAACGAUUCGCUAUCUUCUGAUAGCAAGAAUGUUACUAUUCAUAAAAUUCUUGAUUCACAUUGAGCAAUUUCGUGCUUCUGUUGCCACAUUUUUGAGUCUCAUGUAUAGUCUGCUGCCAUACUUGGGGACCAUAUUCUGUGUCUUAUGCAUUUAUUGCUCUCUUGGUUUACAGGUAUAUUCGACUCCUUUUGCUGUUAUCACUUUGCUAAUCACUUGAUCGUGGAUUUUGUUCCUCUCAUCUUCGGCUUGAUAUAACAGGAAAUAGCUUAACAAUUUUUCGUCUUGAAGUAUUGAUGGAACCCUCUAUGUUUCUUUUCUAAGUUUAUCUUUGGGGGGAUUGUCAACACUGGAAACCCCAACUUAAACCAAACUGAUCUUGCUCGUUAUGACUAUUUGCUUUUUAACUUCAAUGACUACCCGACUGGCAUGGGGACAGUUUUCAAUUUAUUGGUGAUGGGAAUCUGGCCACCAGUGAUGCAGAGCUACAAGGAACUGACAGGGACCUCCUGGACUUAUGUCUACUUCUUCAGCUUCUAUCUUAUUGCCGUUUUGUGGGCUAUUAAAUUUGGUAAGUAUCCAUGUGUACCCUUUGCAAAUAUGGUUUCUAGACCUCCAUUGGAGCUCCAUAGACACGGACAAAAGCCAGAUAAUGUUAAAGUCAACCUCUCAGUAUAGUUAAGUAAAUCAGAUAACAUAAUCACAUGGGCAAUGAGUCCAUUUGGGUACAAUGAUGGUUCCUUUCCCAGUGGCUACUAGUUUUCUUCUCAUAUAGAUAUAAGUACUCACAGGGGCGGAUCAUUAAGGGUCGUGGGAGUGCCACGUCACCCGCAAGCUUCGCCCGAAACCCUAUGUAUAUAUAUGUAUAUAUACAGAAACUAUAUACAAAUAUUUAAAGUGGCACCCUCACUACAAAAUGCCCCGCUGGUGCCAAUGGCGAAGGGCUCUAUUUUCUUCUGUUUGAUCGUAGGAUCGAAUCCCAGCGGCUGCACACUGCACUUUAUUUUUAUUUUUACCUUGUGGCAACAAUAAGCAGCCAGCAAUAUGACUGGGCGGUACAAAACAAUUCCCAAUUUCCCAUUAACUUUAUAUUCUCUUUUUUUAUUUCUAUAAUUGUUGUUGACUUAAUUUAAUUUUUUAAUCUUUGACUUUUUUAUUUCUUAAAGUUGAAAACAUAAGUUUCCCUCUCUUCCUUCUCAUCAAAAAAAAAAAAAAAAAAGAACCUCUCUCUCUUCUCAAUUCUCAUCAAAGAAACAAACCCUCUCUUCUCAAUUCUCAUCAAAUAAACAAACCCUCUUCAUGAAGUACAAAUUAGAGAUUUGAGUUACCAACUCGAUACUUCCAUAUUUCAUAUGCGAAGUGGUAAUCCCAAGUUCUCCAACUUGCAAGGAAUUUGUUAUUUGGCAAAAGCAUUGGUUGAGGCAAAUCUUGUGGAUACUUAUUCACUUGUUUACUUACUUGUGAAAUUAACUCUGAUCUUACUUGUUGCUACCGCAACUGUGGAGAGAGCAUUCUCAUCCAUGAAGCGGAUCCAAAAUGAAGUGCGGAAUAGCAUUGGUGAUCAAUAUUUGAAUGAUUGUUUAGUUUGUUACAUAGAGCGUGAUGUAUUUACAAAUGUAAGUAAUGAUGCAUCAUUGAUCAUUGUCAGAAGAUGAAACCUCAUCGAGGACAAUUACAAUUGUAAAUGAAUGAUGGAUAUUUAUGAUAUUAGUAAUAUUAUUGAAAGUUUUAUGUUUUUCUCUUCUGUAUAUUGCUAUAAAUAAAUGUUUCAUCGGAAAAGACGAAUAACCCGAAUCAAAGCCCGAAAAGACGAAUAAUCCGACCCGAAGCCCAAAUUGAUUGAAUGACGCAUGGCACCCGGAAACUUCAAAUCCUGGAUCCGCCUCUGAGUACUCAUAAGUUCUAUUAGAGAAUGCAUUUGUACCCCAUCAGUUGUACUCCCUCUGUUUCAAUUUGUUUGUCUUACUUUCCUUUUUUAGUCCGUUUAGAAAAGAAUGCCUUUUUCCUUUUCGGCCCACGUGUAAAACCAAGAACCAGGUUACGUGUGUUAGAGAAUGCAUUUGCCCCUCAUCAGUUUUAUAAGGUUAUCAAUGGGGUUUAUAAUGUCCUGGGCCACUCCACCUAUUGCCUUAAGGUUUGGAUUGGAUGCUCAGAUUCUUUCACAAGUUCAUUGUAUCAAAUAACAUUAUCACAUGGAGAGAGAGAAAUAGCAGGGCAUUCGAAGAGGUAGGAAUGAGUUUUGGGCAGUUGAACAGUCUCCGCUCCCUUAUUUACUUUGGUGCACCCAUGUAGGUCCGGGAUUUAUAGAGGAUUGGGUGUCUUUUGUAAAGAACCAUUUCUUUUUGUAGGUUCUUUACUCUCUGGUAUACUUCUUGUAUACGGCCGUUUUUGGCCUUGUGAUUAAUGAAAUUGUUUACCUGAUCAAGAAAACAAAAAAAAUCACACGGGCAAUGUGUCCAUUUGGGUAGAUGACAGUACCUUCCCCAGUGGUAACUAAUUCUUAGAUCUCUGGAUAGUUGUAGGUACAUUACAUUAUUAUCCUAUUGUUUGUUGUGGUCUAUGUUCCAGCCUUGUAUAUCCCUUCUCCUAAUUCACCAAGCAAACUCUAAUAUUGACUUAUUCUUGCUUCAACAUGUCCAAGAAGUGAUGUCUGCUACUUAUGUGUGCUUUUAAAGGUAAAAGUUCCCUUACUUCCAAGAACUAAUUAUUUUCAUGAGUUGGCUCAUUCCACGUUCAAAAUGAUAUUUUCCUAUGCUUUAGUUCUUUUGGACUAUGAGCAUCUACUCCGAUGUCAUUUAAGUAUUUCAGCAACCUGCAUAAUACAUCUGACUUCAUAUAUAUUCCAAGUCCUAGUCAAGCUAACCACCAUGUUUUCUUGCAGGUAAUUUCUAGAUCUUUAUAUUUGUUAUAUAUGUAUGGUCAAUUUAAAAUUUCAUAAAUGGAAAAUGUUUGACAAAGUGCUAACAUAUUGUUUUGAUGCACCCAGUAGUUAAAAUUCUAUAGAGUUGACUGCCUAUUGAGAGCCAUAAUUGAUGCGAGUUGGAAAUUUGCGUAACCACCACUGGGGAUUCAUGCAUGAAUCAACUUCCCAUUUGCAUGACGACCUUAAGAAUUGUGGAUAUUUCAUAGCCCUCCCAAGUCCCAACCAUCUUCACAUUAUUAGCCUUUUAGACUUUCCAUCUCAGCAACCAUUCUCAGGGGUCAAUAAAAAAACAAGCCAUUUUACCCGGUGCUGGGGUAUCAUAGAAUCACCUGAUGAUAAGGUAUCUGCUUGUCUAACAUUUUUUUUUCUUGGUGGUAAUACUGGUAUAUAUGUAAGUAUUCUUUACCAAGGCAAGGUAGCUUAAAUAUUUUAUUCCUAUUGAAUAUUGCAAAAGUUGACAUUGCAUCUCUUAAAGUUUUAGAAACUUUGUUUUUGUUUUUGUUUUUGUUUUUGGACAAUUGAUCUUAGAAUUUACUGUCCCUUUGUGUUCUGACACUUUCUUCUUUCCUAAGUAUAUUGCUUCAGUCAGUGCUGAAGCCAGUAUUAACACUUCACCUUUGCUUGGUAAUUUUCAGAUUAUAGUAUUUGUCUUGGAAGCUUUUCGAGUAGAAAAUGAAGAUGAGGACAAGAAAGAAAGAAGAGAGCCGCGACAUACUGUUGGUGCUACUUAAUUGGAGACAGAAACUAGAUGCUCUACACCGUCGCUUGUGUAGGGAAUGAACCCGGCCCUCCAAUCCAUAAGUUUACUCCAUUCUCCAGGCUGCUUUACGCGGUCCUGUGAGCUUCAGAAGAUGAGUUACCUUGGACCUGGUGGUGAAUAAAAAUCGCAAUCGGCGACGUAUUUAUAUUGUAGUUGUGAAAUGUGGUGUGGUGUGCUCUGUAGUUUAAGUUUCCAUCAAGCUAUUGAUUAUUUUAGCUUGUCCAUGCAAAUAUGUAAAGGUUCUAAUAGAAGUUCCAUUUUUAUGUUUUCUUGUUGAGGGCUCUAUGUAUCAAACAUUUUUAUUCAAAAUAAGAUGAACUCAUCAAUUUCACUUUU